CACAAGGCAGCCUUCUCACAUCUGGGGCCCCAUGAUGCUGUGAUUCACUUCCAGCCUGCCUGGGAGCAUACAGGGAACUGACGUGCCCCUGGGGUCAGGGCCAGUGGAGGCACUCUUUUUCAUAGCAACCUGUUGCUCUGCCCACGUGGAUUGGGCUUUUGAACCCCUACCCAGAUGUCCUGAUGUGAGUGAGCAUGUGUUUCUGUGUGCAUGUGCUUUUGUGUAUGUGUGUGUGACUGUGGUAAGAGGGUAGGGCAGAAGAGGAAUAGAAACAUAGAAACAUAUUUCCCUUGAGACUAGCAGUCACCAUUUUUAGUGUGGGAGGGCUCCUGGGGUUAGGAAGUCUACUUUGGGUCUGGAGAAACAAUAAGGGCAGUCUUUUUUUUUUUUUUUUAAAUAUUUUUUAGUUGUUGGACCUUUAUUUUAUUUAUUUAUAUGUGGUGCUGAGAAUCAAACCCAGUGCCUCACCCUUAGGAGGCAAGCACUCUUUCACUGAGCCACAACUCCAGCCCCAUGGGCAGUCUUAUUUGAGGAUUUGACCUGUGGUGGAAGUAUCAUUAGUAGCCUUUUUUUUUUUCUUUUCCCUGCUACUGAAGAUUGAACUCAGAGGCACUUUACUACUGAGCUACAUCCUCAUCCUCCCCACUUUUUUUGUUGACAGAUCUCUAUUUUUUAUUUGUAUGCGGUAUUGAGAAUUGAACCCAAUGCCUCACAUAUUUGAGGCAAGCGCUUUACCACUGAGUCACAACCCCAGCCCACUCAUCCCUUUUUAUUUUUUACUUUAUAACAGGGUCUCACUAAGUUGCUGAGGCUGUGAUCCUUUUGCCUUAUCAGUAGUACAUUUAUACUAAUAUCUAAACCCAACAGAAGUAUAGUUUACAAAAAAACUAAAAAAAAAAAAUGAGGAGCAAUAAGUGCCAUGCAAUUCCAAAAACAGAAGCAAACUUUUCAUAAGGCUUUUAUCUUUUCAGGUCUAAAGGGUUAGAAUCUUCUUGGUCAACAUGUUAACAGUGCCCUCUGGUGUUUGGCAGCAGAACAACAGGCAUAUUAGUACAGGGUAUGAGUACUUCCAUUAGAUUAGCAGUCUUGAAACUGCCUCUGAAUGUAAGAUUCUGGGCCUGGCACCACUAGGGGAAGAAAGGCUAAUAAGACAGAUAGGUCUCUGCCUGUAAGAGGCUUCCCAUCUAACAGGACAGACAGAUCCACAACUGUAGGGCUAUACAGGGGUUUAAGUAGAGGCCAGAGAGCAUGCAGGGUUGAAGAUGUGGCCCUAUGCUGCCUUCAACAGGCUGAGGAUAGAAGUUAGAGUUCUCCAGGCUAAGAAUCCUAGGCCCAGGUCCCAGGAUUUCAGAGUGGCCAGGGCAGAACGCCCAUGGUGGGGCUAUCCUUAGAAAUACAGCUGUGUAGGGCCCUAUUUGAAAAGACCACAGAUGCCAAUCUGAGCAGGGCCAAAAAGCUACCACAUGUUUUAUGGCAAAAAAGCUACUACAUAUUUUAUGGCAAAUGGCAGAAGGGAAAAGGGUGGAUGUAUCAGUGAAGGGGACAUAGGAAGCCAUGCAGACAGAAGGAUUUUAUAGCAAUCCUGUGAGGCGCAAGUGUCUGAGCUGAGCAUGGUAAUAGGAGGGAGAAAGAGGCAAACAUUCAAAAACCAGUCAAAUUGACAAGGAACAAGGUGGAUGAGAAGUGAGGGAAACAGAAGGAAAUUCUUGAGGUUCUGGCAGUGGUUUAUAUUUCAACAAAGGCAAGGUGUUAGAAAAGGGGGAGCAGAUACUUUGGAGAAUUUUUGAUUAACAUUUAUUUCUGGGUUCUAAGUUAUGAAAUGGUAAUUAAUUUGAAAAAAAUAAUUAUAAAAUCAGGUAUGUAAAGAAUACAAGAUGAGCUUGGAACAUCUCAUAGUGCCAGAAAGUCAGGAAGUGCUCAAAAACAAAGCAAACAUACCACUAUGGGAUGUGAAAAGGAUACAGGACCAAUGCAGCCAAUGGCCAAAGCUAGAACAAUUUGAACAACAAAAUAAACAAAGUAGUAUUGGAUGGAAACCCAACAUAUAAUAUAUACCCACUGAGUCCAUACUGAUAUAAGCAAAUGACUGAAUAAGUAAAUGACUGAGAGAAUAAAUCAAUCUCCCAAGCAGAAGAAUUGAAAAUAAUUUAUGUAGCUAAUCCAUCUUCAAAGCAGAGGGUACAUAAAUCCUCACUCCUUAAUUGUGGGCUGCACACACUUUUUCCCAAAGGGUAAAAUAAGGAAAGAGGUACAAAAGAGGAACUACAAAGUGGACAAACACUGCUGUAGCCAGGUGACCAAAGUUAACAUCAACAGUGACAGGUCAUGUUGAUAGUGUGUAACUCUGAUAAGGUGUGAUAAAAAUGGAGCCGUGUGCCGGGUUUCGUUUUCGUGACUAAAAGGCUCAGGGGUCACUCCAGGGAAACUGGGCUGACUGGGCUGCACAAAAUAACCACACAAGAGACACAAAUACCUUUUUCUUUGGGGUCGCUGUGACGGCUCCUCUGACUUUAAGGGUCCGCAGAAAGAGAGAGAGCAAGAGACAGCACACACACACACACACACAAGGGGUCAGGGGGCUGGGUCUAUCUUCAUGAUGUCCACUGUCAGCAGGUUCACUGACACCUGGGUAGACCACACGCAAAGGCACUGAGAAGGGGACACACACAAGGCACUUCCAUGGAACAUUCUAUUCUAAACAGGGCAAGGGGUUAUAUUACAAAGAAACAGAUGAGCGUAGCUCCACCCAUGGGGCUGUAGCAAGACACACCCAUGCAUGAGACACCAGUCCCUGGAACCCAAGAAGGGUGGGGAAAGCUCUGCCACAUUUCUGGGACUGAGCGCCUCAGCACCCAGCCAGGAAGUGUGAUUCAGUCAUGUGCAAGGCUGGUCUCCCACAGCUGUGGUCUCCUCCCCAAGCCCAGAACCCCAGUCUAAUCAGGACAAAAACAUCAGAUGGAUCCCAAUUGAAGAUCACUCCCCAAAAUACUGGAUCAGUACACUUGCAAGAUUGUCAAAAGUCAUCACAAACAAGGAAGUCUGACAAACUGUCACAGCCAAGAGGAACCUACAGUAUUGGAUGACUCAAAGUAUGAUUGGAUAACCCAGACUGGAUCCUGGAACAGAAAAAAAAUGGUAAAAACAAAAUAUCUGAAGUUUUGAUAAUAACUGAGUGUGGGCUUUAAUGAAUAAUUAUGUAUCAAUAUUGGAUCAUUAGUUGUGACAAAUUUACCAUGGUAAUGGAAAACACUAAUAAUAGGGGAAACUAGGUUUGGAAUAUAUGGGGCUUUGCUAAACUAUCUUCAUAAUUUUUCUGUAAAGCUAUUCUAAAAUUAAACGUUUAAGAAAAAUGCCAAUUGUUUGCUGGGCUUGGUGGUGCACACCUGUGAUUCCAGCAACUUGGGAGCUGAGGCAAGAAGAUUGCAAGUUCCAAAGCCAGCUUCAGCAAUUUAGUGAGGCCCAAAGCAACUUAGUGAGACCCUGCCUCAAAAUAAAAAAUAAAAAGGGGACUGGGGUUGUGGUUCAAUGGUAGAAAUGCUCCCCUAGCAUGGGCGAAGCCUUGGGUUCAAUCCUCAGCACCACAUAAAAAUAAAUAAAUAAAAUACAUGUAUUGUGUCCAACUACAACUAAAAUAAAAAUUAUUUAAAAAAAAUAAAAGGGCUGG
Molecule: long non-coding RNA, 3664 nt
Filed under: Marmota monax (woodchuck)
Lineage: Eukaryota; Metazoa; Chordata; Mammalia; Rodentia; Sciuridae
Source: RNAcentral